This 380-nucleotide ribosomal RNA is filed under the name Enterobacter sp. JC16. Its description in RNAcentral is "bacterial SSU rRNA". It matches the Rfam family "Bacterial small subunit ribosomal RNA", at positions 998 to 1378 of the family's 1533-position model. The record is from RNAcentral. RNAcentral also lists the same sequence under 1 other name. Lineage: Bacteria; Pseudomonadati; Pseudomonadota; Gammaproteobacteria; Enterobacterales; Enterobacteriaceae.
UAGCAGAGAUGCUUUAGUGCCUUCGGGAACCGUGAGACAGGUGCUGCAUGGCUGUCGUCAGCUCGUGUUGUGAAAUGUUGGGUUAAGUCCCGCAACGAGCGCAACCCUUAUCCUUUGUUGCCAGCGGUCCGGCCGGGAACUCAAAGGAGACUGCCAGUGAUAAACUGGAGGAAGGUGGGGAUGACGUCAAGUCAUCAUGGCCCUUACGAGUAGGGCUACACACGUGCUACAAUGGCGUAUACAAAGAGAAGCGACCUCGCGAGAGCAAGCGGACCUCAUAAAGUACGUCGUAGUCCGGAUUGGAGUCUGCAACUCGACUCCAUGAAGUCGGAAUCGCUAGUAAUCGUAGAUCAGAAUGCUACGGUGAAUACGUUCCCGGG